Molecule: transfer RNA, 69 nt
Filed under: Microhyla ornata (ornate rice frog)
Lineage: Eukaryota; Metazoa; Chordata; Amphibia; Anura; Microhylidae
Also listed under: 1 other name
Description: tRNA-His
Rfam family: tRNA
About the family: Transfer RNA (tRNA) molecules are approximately 80 nucleotides in length. Their secondary structure includes four short double-helical elements and three loops (D, anti-codon, and T loops).
Source: RNAcentral
GUGAAUAUAGUUUAACCAAAAUUUUAGGUUGUGGUCCUAAAGAUGAAGGCUAAUAUCCUUCUAUUCACC